AAGGAAUAUUGGUCAAUGGGCGAAAGCCUGAACCAGCCAUCCCGCGUGCAGGAUGACUGCCCUAUGGGUUGUAAACUGCUUUAGACUGGGAAGAAACCCCUCAAUGCGUUGGGGGCUGACGGUAUCAGUAGAAUAAGCACCGGCUAACUCCGUGCCAGCAGCCGCGGUAAUACGGAGGGUGCAAGCGUUAUCCGGAAUCACUGGGUUUAAAGGGUGCGUAGGCGGCUUGAUAAGUCAGAGGUGAAAGCCCGCAGCUUAACUGCGGAACGGCCUUUGAUACUGUUGAGCUUGAAACAGGACGAGGUUGGCGGAAUGUGGCAUGUAGCGGUGAAAUGCAUAGAUAUGCCAUAGAACACCGAUUGCGAAGGCAGCUGGCUAGACCUGAUUUGACGCUGAGGCACGAAAGCGUGGGGAGCGAAC
This 420-nucleotide ribosomal RNA is filed under the name uncultured bacterium. Its description in RNAcentral is "bacterial SSU rRNA". It matches the Rfam family "Bacterial small subunit ribosomal RNA", at positions 356 to 773 of the family's 1533-position model. The record is from RNAcentral.